Molecule: ribosomal RNA, 432 nt
Filed under: uncultured bacterium
Lineage: Bacteria
Description: partial 16S ribosomal RNA
Rfam family: Bacterial small subunit ribosomal RNA
Source: RNAcentral
AACGAACGCUGGCGGCAGGCCUAACACAUGCAAGUCGAGCGCGCCCUUCGGGGUGAGCGGCGGACGGGUGAGUAACGCGUGGGAACGUGCCCUUCUCUGCGGAAUAGCCUCGGGAAACUGAGAGUAAUACCGCAUACGCCCUUUGGGGGAAAGAUUUAUCGGAGAAGGAUCGGCCCGCGUUGGAUUAGGUAGUUGGUGGGGUAAUGGCCCACAAAGCCGACGAUCCAUAGCUGGUUUGAGAGGAUGAUCAGCCACACUGGGACUGAGACACGGCCCAGACUCCUACGGGAGGCAGCAGUGGGGAAUCUUAGACAAUGGGGGCAACCCUGAUCUAGCCAUGCCGCGUGAGUGAUGAAGGCCUUAGGGUUGUAAAGCUCUUUCAGCUGGGAAGAUAAUGACUGUACCAGCAGAAGAAGCCCCGGCUAACUCCGU